GUAAGAGUAGCAUAGUAGUAUGUUUUUGAUUUAGGUUCAGGUUACGUCGGUGCAAUUCCGGUUUCUUAUA
RNAcentral lists this transfer RNA (70 nucleotides) under Ophiarachnella gorgonia. RNAcentral's name for it is "tRNA-Leu". It matches the Rfam family "tRNA". From Rfam's summary of the family: Transfer RNA (tRNA) molecules are approximately 80 nucleotides in length. Their secondary structure includes four short double-helical elements and three loops (D, anti-codon, and T loops). The record is from RNAcentral. Lineage: Eukaryota; Metazoa; Echinodermata; Ophiuroidea; Amphilepidida; Ophiodermatidae.